This 82-nucleotide small nucleolar RNA is filed under the name Olea europaea subsp. europaea. RNAcentral describes it as "Small nucleolar RNA snoR20a". It matches the Rfam family "Small nucleolar RNA snoR20a". Rfam says of the family: The O.sativum sequence was obtained from the plant snoRNA database. The record is from Rfam by way of RNAcentral. Lineage: Eukaryota; Viridiplantae; Streptophyta; Magnoliopsida; Lamiales; Oleaceae.
GCCGAUGAUGACUAAUUGUAUCUACCUGAAAUGCAUCAUUGCAAAAGUGUAGAUAAUACAUUGAACUAGGACGGUCUGAGGC